UCACUUCAGGAUGGGCCCGCGGUGCAUUAGCUAGUUGGUAAGGUAACGGCUUACCAAGGCGAUGAUGCAUAGCCGAGUUGAGAGACUGAUCGGCCACAAUGGAACUGAGACACGGUCCAUACUCCUACGGGAGGCAGCAGUAGGGAAUCUUCCACAAUGGGCGCAAGCCUGAUGGAGCAACACCGCGUGAGUGAAGAAGGGUUUCGGCUCGUAAAGCUCUGUUGUUGGAGAAGAACGUGUGUGAGAGUAACUGUUCACGCAGUGACGGUAUCCAACCAGAAAGUCACGGCUAACUACGUGCCAGCAGCCGCGGUAAUACGUAGGUGGCAAGCGUUAUCCGGAUUUAUUGGGCGUAAAGCGAGCGCAGGCGGUUGCUUAGGUCUGAU
RNAcentral lists this ribosomal RNA (386 nucleotides) under Lactobacillus sp. UN_36. RNAcentral's name for it is "bacterial SSU rRNA". It matches the Rfam family "Bacterial small subunit ribosomal RNA", at positions 215 to 593 of the family's 1533-position model. The record is from RNAcentral. RNAcentral also lists the same sequence under 1 other name. Lineage: Bacteria; Bacillati; Bacillota; Bacilli; Lactobacillales; Lactobacillaceae.